This 794-nucleotide ribosomal RNA is filed under the name uncultured Campylobacterota bacterium. RNAcentral's name for it is "bacterial SSU rRNA". It matches the Rfam family "Bacterial small subunit ribosomal RNA", at positions 9 to 795 of the family's 1533-position model. The record is from RNAcentral. Lineage: Bacteria; Pseudomonadati; Campylobacterota.
GAGUUUGCUCAUGGCUCAGAGUGAACGCUGGCGGCGUGCUUAACACAUGCAAGUCGAACGAUGAAGCCUUUUCUAUCAUUUAUGGUAGGCUAGGUGGAUUAGUGGCGCACGGGUGAGUAAUAUAUAGUUAAUCUGCCUCUUAGUCUGGGAUAGCCAUUGGAAACGAUGAUUAAUACUAGAUACUCCUUCUAACUCUAAUGUUAGUUGGGAAAGGAACAUCUUUAUGGUGCUUCGCUAAGAGAUGAGACUAUAUCCCAUCAGCUUGUUGGUAGAGUAAGAGACUACCAAGGCAAUGACGGGUAUUGGGUUUGAGAGGAUGAUCCGCCACACUGGUACUGAGACACGGACCAGACUCCUACGGGAGGCAGCAGUGAGGAAUAUUGCACAAUGGGGGAAACCCUGAUGCAGCAACGCCGCGUGGAGGAUGACGCAUUUCGGUGUGUAAACUCCUUUUAUAAGGGAAGAAAAUGACGGUACCUUAUGAAUAAGCACCGGCUAACUCCGUGCCAGCAGCCGCGGUAAUACGGAGGGUGCAAGCGUUACUCGGAAUCACUGGGCGUAAAGGACGCGUAGGCGGGUUGGCAAGUCAGAUGUGAAAUCCUACAGCUUAACUGUAGAACUGCAUUUGAAACUGCUAACCUAGAGUAUGGGAGGGGGAGAUGGAAUUAGUGGUGUAGGGGUAAAAUCCGUAGAUAUCACUAGGAAUACCGAAAGCGAAGGCGAUCUCCUGGAACAUAACUGACGCUAAGGCGUGAAAGCGUGGGGAGCAAACGGGAUUAGAUACCCCGGUAGUC